GAUGAAGAAACGUAGCGAAAUGCGAUAAGUAAUGCGAAUUGCAGAAUUCCAGUGAGUCAUCGAAUCUUUGAACGCACAUUGCGCCCUUUGGCAUUCCGAAGGGCAUGCCUGUCCGAGCGUCAUUAUCACCCCUCAAGCCCCCGGCUUGGUGUUGGAGUGAGUCCGGCUUCACCCCUGGACCUCCCAAAGACAAUGACGGCGGCCUCGUAGGAUCCCCCGGUACACUGAGCUUUUCACGGAGCACGUAUCGAUGGGCCUGCGGGGCGAACGGUCUCCCUCCGUAAAGGAGAAACUUUUUUCUAAAAGGUUGACCUCGGAUCAGGUAGGAAUACCCGCUGAACUUAAGCAUAUCAAUAAGCGGAGGA
RNAcentral lists this unclassified non-coding RNA (365 nucleotides) under soil metagenome. RNAcentral's name for it is "partial contains 5.8S ribosomal RNA, internal transcribed spacer 2, and large subunit ribosomal RNA". The stretch from base 1 to 122 matches the Rfam family "5.8S ribosomal RNA", at positions 35 to 154 of the family's 154-position model. The record is from RNAcentral.